AAACUGGGCAUCGUACCUGAUCCGAGGUCACCUUGGAAAAAGAUUGAUUUGCGUUCGGCAAGCGCCGGCCGGGCCUACAGAGCGGGUGACAAAGCCCCAUACGCUCGAGGAUCGGACGCGGUGCCGCCGCUGCCUUUGGGGCCCGUCCCCCCCGGAGAGGGGACGACGACCCAACACACAAGCCGUGCUUGAUGGGCAGCAAUGACGCUCGGACAGGCAUGCCCCCCGGAAUACCAGGGGGCGCAAUGUGCGUUCAAAGACUCGAUGAUUCACGGAAUUCUGCAAUUCACACUAGUUAUCGCAUUUCGCUGCGUUCUUCAUCGAUGCCGGAACCAAGAGAUCCAUUGUUGAAAGUUUUAACUGAUUGCGAUACAAUCAACUCAGACUUCACUAGAUCAGACAGAGUUCGUGGUGUCUCCGGCGGGCGCGGGCCCGGGGCUGAGAGCCCCCGGCGGCCAUGAAUGGCGGGCCCGCCGAAGCAACUAAGGUACAGUAAACACGGGUGGGAGGUUGGGCUCGCUAGGAACCCUACACUCGGGAAGGAUCCUUCCGCAGGUUCACCUACCGAAAGGCGGGGACCAAGCGAGUCCAAUCUCAACCAAGUUUUUUGUUCCCUAUUUUGUUUGGCUGCGACAAUAUUAUCGUUCUAUUGGAAGC
This 657-nucleotide unclassified non-coding RNA is filed under the name Aspergillus flavus. RNAcentral describes it as "sequence contains ITS1, 5.8S rRNA gene and ITS2". Lineage: Eukaryota; Fungi; Ascomycota; Eurotiomycetes; Eurotiales; Aspergillaceae. The record is from RNAcentral.